Molecule: non-coding RNA, 49 nt
Filed under: Trichobilharzia regenti
Lineage: Eukaryota; Metazoa; Platyhelminthes; Trematoda; Strigeidida; Schistosomatidae
Source: RNAcentral
AUCCAUUUGACGAGGCCUAAAUAGGACGAAAUGCGCAUCCUGGCUGGAU